UUUUCGAUACAAGUCCAAUAAUGAAAGUUUUUAUUUUUGGACGACGAGUGAAUAGUAAAUCGGGAUUUCUCGAUAAACGAACCGAGCUCGUUUAUCAGAAUUUUGAGAACGAGCUUGCGUUUUCUAUAUUUAUAUAGAAUUACGAGUGCAAUGAAAGUGAGUAGAGGUUGAGAGGGCGAGUAACAAAGAGUAUGGGUUGUUAGUUGUUAAAACGAGACGAGACGAGAUAUUUAACGACUAACGGGUUAAUAUCCUAAAUAUCUAACCUACCCUACCCCUAACCACCCCCAAACCUCCCAAAACCCCUUUCCCCUCACUAACUCACGCUAUAUCAGCCCACACCACACACACAACUCACAUAUUCACACACACAACACCUAAAACACACACUACACACGCCAUUUUCCAUUUAAGCUUGGACGGAGCUUUUGACCUCCGAUUUGAGCACCGAGACGAGCGCCGAUCAUCUUUUCGAUCAUGUAUCUAAGUAGGUCCUUUUGGGAAGUAACGACUUGAGGGAGAGAGUGACGUUACUCAUUGAUACAGAGACACAACGAGGUUGAGCUGAUGUGAUGAUGGUGCUGCAAUGAGCGGAGUCUCCAGGGUUGUUAAUAAAUAGUUAACCUGUCUAGAAUAUGUCUUCAUACAUAUGUCUAGCUACUUUCCGCUGCAAGAUGUUGUUGAUGUUAUAGUAUGUUAUGUCAUACUUUGAGUCUUAAGAGAAUGGUUGCAUAUGAUGUAUAACUUGAUUAAUGAUAUUAAUUAACUUUUAUGCAGUCUUUCAUAGACUGUUUUCAAUUGAGUAUUAAUGAAUAAAAAUGACGAGUUUUAUUAA
Salvia miltiorrhiza (redroot sage) is the source of this 835-nucleotide long non-coding RNA. RefSeq lists it as uncharacterized. The transcript is spliced from 3 exons. The record is from RefSeq and is a predicted model, not a curated record. NCBI's taxonomy places the organism in Eukaryota, Viridiplantae, Streptophyta, Magnoliopsida, Lamiales, Lamiaceae.